Molecule: long non-coding RNA, 731 nt
Organism: Oryzias melastigma (Indian medaka)
Lineage: Eukaryota; Metazoa; Chordata; Actinopteri; Beloniformes; Adrianichthyidae
Exons: 3
Source: RefSeq, a predicted model, not a curated record
CUAUAAUAAUUAUAUUAAAUUUAUUGUAAUUUUGCUAAAAGUGUACUGUAAAAACAAAUAAUAUUUAUAUUUUCACAAUUUCUUGGAUUUCGACUCCCAUCCCAUCCAGAGUGAAGCUCUGUCAUCAUCAGAUGAUCUUUGGCCCUCCAGCUCUGCCUGACUCACAGGAAGCUGCAGAGAGCGUGACGUUCCCGCUCCUGCAGGGAUCCGUCAGCCAUCACGGCAGCUGAUGACGCAGAUGGAAACUCAGGAGAAACUCUGGAGAAACUGACAGAACCACGCUUUACAACACACAGAGUGCAGGAUGAAAGCGUCGUGUCUUCUGAUGACAGAGUCGUCUCACGGAGUUCAUCCUUUAAAACUUUUAUCCAGCUGCUCAGAGCAGUUUCCACAGGAAGUGGGAUUAUUGGAAAGAUCCUGGCUAACGUGUCAGUGCCAGCUCUCCUGAUGCCAAGGACGUUCCAGCCGCUCCCAGAGAAACCGCUCCGGGCUGCUUUGGGUUCUGGAUGUUCUGGAUGAGGAAUUGCUCUUAGUUUUUACCAAAUAAACCAGAUUUAAGGACGAAAAUCUGCUCCACUCUCUGACCUCUGGGGUUUCUUUCAUUUAAUAAGUGAAAUGAGGAACAUUCUGAUAUUUCUGCCCACAACCAGAUUCUUUCCACUAUUCUUCCUUCUUCUGAGCAAAAAAGUGACCCCCAAAAGUCCCCACACAUGAAGUACCCGGUUGAUGUG